ACACGUCACCCCAAUAUGGAUUCCAGGAUCAGUGAUUCAGCUGAUAUAAAAACCCCAUGCAUCGAUGGAUCGCUCUCUUAUUCGUGUAGCAAAAUAGCCAGAUUAGUGCCCUGCCCACGUGAACGUUUGAAAAAUCUACCCGGUAUUGAAGCUACUGUGUUGCAGCCCGUUAGUGAAGCCGUUAGUGGACCGUUCGUUCCACGUGUUAGUGAGAGUCGACCAAAGUUAGUGGGUGCAUCUACCGAAGAGAAGGCGUCAACCAGAGCGUCCCGACGGCCACCAGCCAGAGUGCGUCGGAGCCUAGAGACGGCAGAAAUUGCGCCAACCCCAGCCUGCGUCACAUCAUUAGCGGCAGCGGAACAUCGUGGUUACCCGAGCAGAAAAGGUGUGUCCAUUCCAAAAUUUCCUUCACUCUUUCCCAUGUAUAUACCCCUUUGAAUUCAAAAUUAAUUAAAUUAAAGAGCUUUUGUUGAAUUAGAA
This is a long non-coding RNA of Aedes aegypti (yellow fever mosquito), 480 nucleotides long. RefSeq lists it as uncharacterized. Lineage: Eukaryota; Metazoa; Arthropoda; Insecta; Diptera; Culicidae. The transcript is spliced from 2 exons. The record is from RefSeq and is a predicted model, not a curated record.